GAUGAACGCUGGCGGCGUGCUUAACACAUGCAAGUCGAACGAAGACAUCUGAGUGCUUGCACUUGGAUGGACUGAGUGGCGGACGGGUGAGUAACGCGUGGGUAACCUGCCUUAUACAGGGGGAUAACAGUUGGAAACGACUGAUAAUACCGCAUAAGCGCACAGUGCCGCAUGGUACAGUGUGAAAAACUCCGGUGGUGUGAGAUGGACCCGCGUCUGAUUAGCUAGUUGGCAGGGCAACGGCCUACCAAGGCGACGAUCAGUAGCCGACCUGAGAGGGUGACCGGCCACAUUGGGACUGAGACACGGCCCAAACUCCUACGGGAGGCAGCAGUGGGGAAUAUUGGGCAAUGGGGGAAACCCUGACCCAGCAACGCCGCGUGAAGGAAGAAGGCCUUCGGGUUGUAAACUUCUUUUACCAGGGACGAAGGACGUGACGGUACCUGGAGAAAAAGCAACGGCUAACUACGUG
RNAcentral lists this ribosomal RNA (472 nucleotides) under uncultured bacterium. Its description in RNAcentral is "bacterial SSU rRNA". It matches the Rfam family "Bacterial small subunit ribosomal RNA", at positions 28 to 507 of the family's 1533-position model. The record is from RNAcentral.